RNAcentral lists this ribosomal RNA (483 nucleotides) under uncultured bacterium. RNAcentral describes it as "partial 16S ribosomal RNA". It matches the Rfam family "Bacterial small subunit ribosomal RNA", at positions 28 to 507 of the family's 1533-position model. The record is from RNAcentral.
GACGAACGCUGGCGGCGUGCUUAACACAUGCAAGUCGAACGCUGAAGCUCAGCUUUUGUUGGGUGGAUGAGUGGCGAACGGGUGAGUAACACGUGAGUAACCUGCCUCCUUCUUUGGGAUAACGCCCGGAAACGGGUGCUAAUACUGGAUAUUCACUGGUCUUCGCAUGGGGGUUGGUGGAAAGGGUUUUUCUGGUGGGGGAUGGGCUCGCGGCCUAUCAGCUUGUUGGUGGGGUGAUGGCCUACCAAGGCUUUGACGGGUAGCCGGCCUGAGAGGGUGACCGGUCACAUUGGGACGGAGAUACGGCCCAGACGCCUACGGGAGGCAGCAGUGGGGAAUAUUGCACAAUGGGCGAAAGCCUGAUGCAGCGACGCCGCGUGAGGGAUGGAGGCCUUAGGGUUGUGAACCUCUUUCGCUCAUGGUCAAGCCGCAACAAUGGUUGUGGUGAGGGUAGUGGGUAAAGAAGCGCCGGCUAACUACGUG